UUCAAGAAUGGAAGCAGUACGAAGUGGGUACGAGAGUAAACAAAUGGUAAUGAAAGCAUUUGGGAUGUCUAACAAAGACAAAAAUUCCAUCUUAAUUCAACUGUUAGGAUGUAUCUUAAUCAAUGUUAUCUGCUGUGAGACAGAGAACGCACACAAGCUCCUCCUGAACUGAGCUGCUCUAGGAAGCUGAAUUCAGAUGGUGCCAUAGAGUGCGACUAACAUCUAGCACCAUUUGAAAUCAGUGUUCUUCGAGUUGAACAGACAUCAAGUGAAACCCAGAGGUUCUCCCAGCUGAGCUAAUGACUGGCACAGAUUUAUUUCACUAUAAUGAAUGUGUAAUGUUUGCUUCCUUGUUGCUUUAAUUGGAGUUUGUCAGCUUUUUCUUUUUUUUUUUUUAAAUAAAACUGAUUCAUUGCAGUUCAGUGCCAUAUUUGAUUAUUGAAAGCAGUUAACAUUUCAGAAUAAAAAGAGUGCAAGCUGA
Electrophorus electricus (electric eel) is the source of this 481-nucleotide long non-coding RNA. RefSeq lists it as uncharacterized. The record is from RefSeq and is a predicted model, not a curated record. Lineage: Eukaryota; Metazoa; Chordata; Actinopteri; Gymnotiformes; Gymnotidae.